Molecule: ribosomal RNA, 274 nt
Filed under: uncultured bacterium
Lineage: Bacteria
Description: partial 16S ribosomal RNA
Rfam family: Bacterial small subunit ribosomal RNA
Source: RNAcentral
AUACGGAGGGGGUUAGCGUUGUUCGGAAUUACUGGGCGUAAAGCGCACGUAGGCGGACUGGAAAGUUGGGGGUGAAAUCCCGGGGCUCAACCCCGGAACUGCCUCCAAAACUUCCAAUCUAGAGAUCGAGAGAGGUGAGUGGAAUUCCAAGUGUAGAGGUGAAAUUCGUAGAUAUUUGGAGGAACACCAGUGGCGAAGGCGGCUCACUGGCUCGAUACUGACGCUGAGGUGCGAAAGCGUGGGGAGCAGACAGGAUUAGAAACCCUAGUAGUCC